UGGGAGGCAGCUGUGGGCAGAUGACUCCUAUGCGCUGGCAGCUCUCUGCAGUUUCCAAAGCCCUGUCUCAUCCAGUAGCGCUGAUGGGCUUCUCUGAGCCUCAGUUUCCUCUGUAAAAUGGAGAGAAAACACUGAUGCCUGCUCCCCCGCCCACCCUCACAGGGCACUCUUUGCCUGCUAAAGCCCUGUGGACAGCUCCCGGAGGGCUGAGAAGGCUCCUCGGUCACCUCCCUGUCUGCGGGCGUGGGGAAGGCUCCUGAACACAGCAAUGAAUGAGUCAGAUCCAACUUCCCACUCAGUGAUCACCUGUUAACAUGCUAUGGAACUAAUGUUUGGAAAACUCAGACCCAAAUCCUUUGCAUCCCCUUUUUUCCUGAUUACUAAAACACUGCAGUUUCCGCGUUCAUCGUAAGAAAUCUGGAAAACAUAAUAAGGAAUAGGAAAGAUUGUUUAGAUCUUUCAAUAUCUCGUCACCCGGAAGGAAGCACUCUUACCAUUUUGGUUUAUUUUUUUCCAG
This 517-nucleotide long non-coding RNA is filed under the name Equus caballus (horse). RNAcentral's name for it is "lncRNA (ENSECAG00000059383.1)". The record is from RNAcentral. Lineage: Eukaryota; Metazoa; Chordata; Mammalia; Perissodactyla; Equidae.